RNAcentral lists this ribosomal RNA (134 nucleotides) under Flavobacteriaceae bacterium. RNAcentral describes it as "partial 16S ribosomal RNA". It matches the Rfam family "Bacterial small subunit ribosomal RNA", at positions 1 to 129 of the family's 1533-position model. The record is from RNAcentral. Lineage: Bacteria; Pseudomonadati; Bacteroidota; Flavobacteriia; Flavobacteriales; Flavobacteriaceae.
ACAACGAAGAGUUUGAUCCUGGCUCAGGAUGAACGCUAGCGGCAGGCUUAACACAUGCAAGUCGAGGGGUAACAGGGAUUGCUUGCAAUCCGCUGACGACCGGCGCACGGGUGCGUAACGCGUAUGCAACCUAC